UGGGAAUUUGGACAAUGGGCGAAAGCCUGAUCCAGCAAUGCCGCGUGUGUGAAGAAGGCCUUCGGGUUGUAAAGCACUUUUGUCCGGAAAGAAAUCCUUGGCUCUAAUACAGUCGGGGGAUGACGGUACCGGAAGAAUAAGCACCGGCUAACUACGUGCCAGCAGCCGCGGUAAUACGUAGGGUGCAAGCGUUAAUCGGAAUUACUGGGCGUAAAGCGUGCGCAGGCGGUUUGCUAAGACCGAUGUGAAAUCCCCGGGCUCAACCUGGGAACUGCAUUGGUGACUGGCAGGCUAGAGUAUGGCAGAGGGGGGUAGAAUUCCACGUGUAGCAGUGAAAUGCGUAGAGAUGUGGAGGAAUACCGAUGGCGAAGGCAGCCCCCUGGGCCAAUACUGACGCUCAUGCACGAAAGCGUGGGGAGCAAACAGGAUUAGAUACCCUGGUAGUCCACGCCCUAAACGAUGUCAACUAGUUGUUGGGGAUUCAUUUCCUUAGUAACGUAGCUAACGCGUGAAGUUGACCGCCUGGGGAGUACGGUCGCAAGAUUAAAACUCAAAUGAAUUGACGGGGUC
This 570-nucleotide ribosomal RNA is filed under the name uncultured bacterium. RNAcentral's name for it is "partial 16S ribosomal RNA". It matches the Rfam family "Bacterial small subunit ribosomal RNA", at positions 357 to 920 of the family's 1533-position model. The record is from RNAcentral.